AGCUCCAGUAGCGUAUAUUAAAGUUGUUGCAGUUAAAAAGCUCGUAGUUGGAUUUCUGGUCUGGCGCGUUUGGCCCGCCCCGGUUAUCGGUGGUGUUGUGCCGACGCGCGCCUACCAUCCUUCCAGAGAACGUUUCUACCUUUCACUAGGCCGGAUUCGCAAUCUGGAUCUUUUACUUUGAAAAAAUUAGAGUGUUUAAAGCAGGCUUGUGCUAUGAAUACAUUAGCAUGGAAUAAUAAUUUAGGACUUUAGUUCUAUUUCGUUGGUUUCUAGAACUGAAGUAAUGAUUGAUAGGGAUAGUUGGGGGUGCUAGUAUUCAGCGGCCAGAGGUGAAAUUCUUGGAUUCGCGGAAGACUAACUUAUGCGAAAGCAUUCACCAAGGAUGUCUUCUUUAAUCAAG
Molecule: ribosomal RNA, 400 nt
Filed under: phytoplankton environmental sample
Lineage: Eukaryota
Description: partial small subunit ribosomal RNA
Rfam family: Eukaryotic small subunit ribosomal RNA
Source: RNAcentral